RNAcentral lists this ribosomal RNA (484 nucleotides) under uncultured bacterium. RNAcentral describes it as "partial 16S ribosomal RNA". It matches the Rfam family "Bacterial small subunit ribosomal RNA", at positions 30 to 507 of the family's 1533-position model. The record is from RNAcentral.
AUUGAACGCUGGCGGCAGGCCUAACACAUGCAAGUCGAGCGGAUGAAGGGAGCUUGCUCCUGGAUUCAGCGGCGGACGGGUGAGUAAUGCCUAGGAAUCUGCCUGGUAGUGGGGGAUAACGUCCGGAAACGGGCGCUAAUACCGCAUACGUCCUGAGGGAGAAAGUGGGGGAUCUUCGGACCUCACGCUAUCAGAUGAGCCUAGGUCGGAUUAGCUAGUAGGUGGGGUAAAGGCCUACCAAGGCGACGAGCCGUAACUGGUCUGAGAGGAUGAUCAGUCACCCGGGAACUGAGACACGGUCCAGACUCCUACGGGAGGCAGCAGUGGGGAAUAUUGGACGAUGGGCGAAAGCCUGAUCCAGCCAUGCCGCGUGUGUGAAGAAGGUCUUCGGAUUGUAAAGCACUUUAAGUUGGGAGGAAGGGCAGUAAGUUAAUACCUUGCUGUUUUGACGUUACCAACAGAAUAAGCACCGGCUAACUUCGUG